CGACCUAAGCCAAAUCAACUCUCCGGCGACAACAAUAGCCAUCUAAGUUCGACUUCACUUUUGAAAUCCAAUUCUACAAGGAACUCUAUACGUGCUCAAAAAUUUAAAUUGAUUUUGUAACAAAAAUUAGCUUAUGGUCAUAUACGAGUGAGAAGCCAGGAGGAUCUUUAUUGACCAUGGUAGGCAACUUUGGAAAGAGGCAAAUAACCAGAGCUUUAGAAGAUAGAG
This 228-nucleotide long non-coding RNA is filed under the name Elaeis guineensis (African oil palm). Its description in RNAcentral is "long non-coding RNA (EGUI_LNC044495)". The record is from RNAcentral. Lineage: Eukaryota; Viridiplantae; Streptophyta; Magnoliopsida; Arecales; Arecaceae.